GGCAGAGUGGCUCAAGUGGUAGAGUGCCUGCCUAGUAAGUAGGAGGACCUGAGUUCAAAUCCCAGUAUUGCCA
Molecule: non-coding RNA, 73 nt
Organism: Castor canadensis (American beaver)
Lineage: Eukaryota; Metazoa; Chordata; Mammalia; Rodentia; Castoridae
Source: the annotation of a RefSeq genome assembly